This 871-nucleotide long non-coding RNA is filed under the name Gallus gallus (chicken). RNAcentral describes it as "long non-coding RNA NONGGAT007848". The record is from RNAcentral. Lineage: Eukaryota; Metazoa; Chordata; Aves; Galliformes; Phasianidae.
UAAAGAGGCUCUUUGUGUACCUCUCAGGCUGUGAGAGCAGCACAGAACCUGCGAGCUGAACAAUGCUGCAGGUGUCUUCCCUUGUAAAACAUGUAAUUAUUGCCUUCUGUAAGUGAAAUGGAUAUGGGGAUUCUGCGUGGGGUGGCAGUGAAGAUGUGGGGUGGCACACUGCUAUUAGUGCUGUUACGAAUGGAAGAUCAGCAGGCACGCUCCUCAGUAGAUGAGGUGACUUUGCGUACAAGUGCUGCAAAUGUUUUGUUCUUCUCCUUUGCUGCUGAACUACUGGGAAGUGAGGAUGGGUGGAAAUGGAGAUGGCGAUCGCCAGCGGCUUCUGCCAGGAGGCCAUGUGUGCAGCCAACAGAUGACUACAUGGGGAUCUAUAAAGCAAUAAAAAGCAGAGUCCAGAUAACAAGGCUUAGCGGGAAUAAAGAUAAGGCAGCAUCCACACCAUCGGUGCAUGCAUGGGCAAAGACGAGAGCAGGAAGAGCAGGAUGCCCUUCACAACCUCUGUGCACGAGAGCAAGAUAGACCCCAGGACAGAGUAAGAAAGAAGAGAUGCAACCCAUCAACCUCCUUCUGCAUCUCUCUCUGCACCCGUGGAUCUAUAGGGAGAGGCAUUCUGGUGCACACUUCCCUGAAGCUGAUGUGUGAAACAGUCUCUGCAGGAGAUAAUGGUGAGCAGCCCUCAAUGAAAGCAGGAGCUAAAUCUGAUUCACAGUAAUCGCUUGAAAUGUGUUACCCAGUCAUCUGCUGCCUUGCACAGCGUGCCAACACUGGUAUAAUGAACCGCUGAUCGUUCACUUAAUAGCUACACAGUGGCUGAAAAGAUGGGGACUCCUACAUCAUGUAAAUUUGCCUAGAUUUCAUACUC